Molecule: transfer RNA, 58 nt
Filed under: Chiropterargas confusus
Lineage: Eukaryota; Metazoa; Arthropoda; Arachnida; Ixodida; Argasidae
Description: Argas confusus tRNA-Cys
Source: RNAcentral
AGCCUUAUAUUUUAUGUAAAAUAUUAAAUUGCAAGUUUAAAGAAGAUCCUUAAGGCUU